UACUAGAGUAGCACUCGCAUAUCAAUAAGCGGAGGAAAAGAAACUAACGAGGAUUCCCCUAGUAACGGCGAGUGAAGCGGGAAGAGCUCAAAUUUGAAAUCUUAAAGGGUUUCCCUUUACGAAUUGUAGUUUAAAGAAGUGUUUUCUGUUGAGGUUUUGGUAAAAGUUCUUUGGAAUAGGACAUCAUAGAGGGUGAGAAUCCCGUAUUUGACCUUUACUUUCAACUUUGUGAUACACUUUCAAAGAGUCGGAUUGUUUGGGAAUGCAGUCCAAAAUGGGUGGUAAAUUUCAUCUAAAGCUAAAUAUUGGCGAGAGACCGAUAGCGAACAAGUACCGUGAGGGAAAGAUGAAAAGAACUUUGAAAAGAGAGUUAAACAGUACGUGAAAUUGUCAAAAGGGAAGCGUUUGACACCAGUGUUGUUUUUCUGAAAAUCAAUUAAAGAACUGUUUAUGCUAAGCUGUUUAGACUUUAUCAGCUAUCUGUUUAGUUUUGAGCUUUUCUUUAAUGCACUUUUCAGUUAACAAGUCAACAUCAAUUUCUUUUGCUGUAAAAAAGCUUGAGGAAGGUGGCUUGAGAUUCGUCUUAAGUGUUUAUAGCCUCUUGCCUAUGCAGUCGGAGAGAUUGAGGUCUGCAGCGUAGAUCCUUCGGGGCUAAAUGCAUUUGUGCUAAGUUAUAGCAUUUUAUAGACAACUUGUUGACUAUGAUUUGUCUUGUAGCUUACUCGCUUAUGUUAUUUUACCUACGCUUAGGAUGUUGAACUACUGAGACAUAGA
RNAcentral lists this ribosomal RNA (774 nucleotides) under uncultured Neocallimastigales. RNAcentral's name for it is "partial large subunit ribosomal RNA". It matches the Rfam family "Eukaryotic large subunit ribosomal RNA", at positions 20 to 644 of the family's 3401-position model. The record is from RNAcentral. Lineage: Eukaryota; Fungi; Neocallimastigomycota; Neocallimastigomycetes; Neocallimastigales.